Molecule: microRNA precursor, 208 nt
Filed under: Oryza brachyantha (malo sina)
Lineage: Eukaryota; Viridiplantae; Streptophyta; Magnoliopsida; Poales; Poaceae
Description: MIR812 microRNA precursor family
Rfam family: MIR812 microRNA precursor family
Source: Rfam by way of RNAcentral
AAUAAGUUUAUUUUUUAAUUUUUGGAUACAAUAUUUUAACACUUCGUCUUAUUUAAAAUUUUUUACGAUUAAUAUUUUUCUUGUUACUACAUGAUAAAACAUGAAUAAUACUUUAUACGUGACUAAUUUUUAAAGGUUAUUGUAUAAAUUUUUCAAAUAAGAUGAAUGAUCAAACAUUAGACAUAGGAAUUUGAAAAAUGAAGUUAUU